GGCUUGGUGGUGAAAUGGUAACGCGCUCCAUGUACCUAUAUGGAACGUUCGCAUAUUGUUCGACGGAAAGUCCGGAGUUCAAUUCUCUGUCAAGCCA
This is a non-coding RNA of Mycena latifolia, 97 nucleotides long. The record is from the annotation of a GenBank genome assembly. NCBI's taxonomy places the organism in Eukaryota, Fungi, Basidiomycota, Agaricomycetes, Agaricales, Mycenaceae.